This 252-nucleotide ribosomal RNA is filed under the name uncultured bacterium. RNAcentral describes it as "partial 16S ribosomal RNA". It matches the Rfam family "Bacterial small subunit ribosomal RNA", at positions 524 to 776 of the family's 1533-position model. The record is from RNAcentral.
UACGGGGGGGUAAGCGUUGUUCGGAAUUACUGGGCGUAAAGGGCGCGUAGGCGGCCCGUCAAGUCCCGUGUGAAAGCCCCCGGCUCAACCGGGGAACUGCACGGGAAACUAGCAGGCUUGAGUUCGGGAGAGGGAAGCGGAGUUUCGGGUGUAGCGGUGAAAUGCGCAGAUAUCCGAAGGAACACCGGUGGCGAAGGCGGCUUCCUGGACCGACACUGACGCUGAGGCGCGAAAGCUAGGGGAGCAAACGGG